Molecule: ribosomal RNA, 492 nt
Filed under: uncultured bacterium
Lineage: Bacteria
Description: partial 16S ribosomal RNA
Rfam family: Bacterial small subunit ribosomal RNA
Source: RNAcentral
AGUGAACGCUGGCGGUAGGCCUAACACAUGCAAGUCGAACGGCAGCACAGUAAGAGCUUGCUCUUACGGGUGGCGAGUGGCGGACGGGUGCGGAAUACAUCGGAAUCUACUUUUUCGUGGGGGAUAACGCAGGGAAACUUACGCUAAUACCGCAUACGACCUACGGGUGAAAGCAGGGGAUCUUCGGACCUUGCGCGAUUGAAUGAGCCGAUGUCGGAUUAGCUAGUUGGCGGGGUAAAGGCCCACCAAGGCGACGAUCCGUAGCUGGUCUGAGAGGAUGAUCAGCCACACUGGAACUGAGACACGGUCCAGACUCCUACGGGAGGCAGCAGUGGGGAAUAUUGGACAAUGGGCGCAAGCCUGAUCCAGCCAUACCGCGUGGGUGAAGAAGGCCUUCGGGUUGUAAAGCCCUUUUGUUGGGAAAGAAAAGCAGCAGGUUAAUACCCCGCUGUUCUGACGGUACCCAAAGAAUAAGCACCGGCUAACUUCGUG